GACAGAGGGUGCUAGCGUUGUUCGGAAUUACUGGGCGUAAAGGGCGCGUAGGCGGCUCGUUUAGUCGGGUGUGAAAUCCCGGGGCUCAACCCCGGAACUGCAUUCGAUACUGGCGGGCUAGAGACCGGAAGAGGUGGGUGGAAUACCCAGUGUAGAGGUGAAAUUCGUAGAUAUUGGGUGGAACACCGGUGGCGAAGGCGGCUCACUGGUCCGGUUCUGACGCUGAGGCGCGAAGGCGUGGGGAGCGAACGGG
This 253-nucleotide ribosomal RNA is filed under the name uncultured bacterium. RNAcentral's name for it is "partial 16S ribosomal RNA". It matches the Rfam family "Bacterial small subunit ribosomal RNA", at positions 524 to 776 of the family's 1533-position model. The record is from RNAcentral.